UACGUAGGGGGCAAGCGUUGUCCGGAAUUAUUGGGCGUAAAGAGCGCGUAGGCGGUCCGAUAAGUCGGCUGUGAAAGUCAAGGGCUCAACCCUUGAAAGCCGGCCGAUACUGUCGGACUAGAGUCCGGAAGAGGCAAGUGGAAUUCCCGGUGUAGCGGUGAAAUGCGCAGAUAUCAGGAGGAACACCGAUGGCGAAGGCAGAUCUCUGGGCCGUAACUGACGCUGAGGAGCGAAAGCGUGGGGAGCGAACAGG
RNAcentral lists this ribosomal RNA (253 nucleotides) under uncultured bacterium. RNAcentral's name for it is "partial 16S ribosomal RNA". It matches the Rfam family "Bacterial small subunit ribosomal RNA", at positions 524 to 776 of the family's 1533-position model. The record is from RNAcentral.